AAUAGAUACCCAGGUAGUCCACGCCGUAAACGAUGAGUGCUAAGUGUUAGAGGGUUUCCGCCCUUUAGUGCUGCAGCAAACGCAUUAAGCACUCCGCCUGGGGAGUACGGUCGCAAGACUGAAACUCAAAGGAAUUGACGGGGGCCCGCACAAGCGGUGGAGCAUGUGGUUUAAUUCGAAGCAACGCGAAGAACCUUACCAGGUCUUGACAUCCCACUGCCCGGUAUAGAGAUAUACCUUUCCCUUCGGGGACAGUGGUGACAGGUGGUGCAUGGUUGUCGUCAGCUCGUGUCGUGAGAUGUUGGGUUAAGUCCCGCAACGAGCGCAACCCUUGAUCUUAGUUGCCAGCAUUUAGUUGGGCACUCUAAGGUGACUGCCGGUGACAAACCGGAGGAAGGUGGGGAUGACGUCAAAUCAUCAUGCCCCUUAUGACCUGGGCUACACACGUGCUACAAUGGAUGGUACAAAGGGCUGCAAGACCGCGAGGUCAAGCCAAUCCCAUAAAACCAUUCUCAGUUCGGAUUGCAGG
RNAcentral lists this ribosomal RNA (529 nucleotides) under uncultured bacterium. RNAcentral's name for it is "bacterial SSU rRNA". It matches the Rfam family "Bacterial small subunit ribosomal RNA", at positions 777 to 1304 of the family's 1533-position model. The record is from RNAcentral.